AAUCCAUAGGUUAAUGAGGCGAACCGGGGGAACUGAAACAUCUAAGUACCCCGAGGAAAAGAAAUCAACCGAGAUUCCCCCAGUAGCGGCGAGCGAACGGGGAGGAGCCCAGAGCCUGAAUCAGCAUGUGUGUUAGUGGAAGCGUCUGGAAAGGCGCGCGAUACAGGGUGACAGCCCCGUACACAAAAGCGCAUGUGCUGUGAGCUCGAUGAGUAGGGCGGGACACGUGGUAUCCUGUCUGAAUAUGGGGGGACCAUCCUCCAAGGCUAAAUACUCCUGACUGACCGAUAGUGAACCAGUACCGUGAGGGAAAGGCGAAAAGAACCCCGGCGAGGGGAGUGAAAAAGAACCUGAAACCGUGUACGUACAAGCAGUGGGAGCACAGGUUUACCUGUGUGACUGCGUACCUUUUGUAUAAUGGGUCAGCG
This 428-nucleotide ribosomal RNA is filed under the name Salmonella enterica subsp. enterica serovar Infantis. Its description in RNAcentral is "partial 23S ribosomal RNA". It matches the Rfam family "Bacterial large subunit ribosomal RNA", at positions 161 to 625 of the family's 2925-position model. The record is from RNAcentral. RNAcentral also lists the same sequence under 7 other names. Lineage: Bacteria; Pseudomonadati; Pseudomonadota; Gammaproteobacteria; Enterobacterales; Enterobacteriaceae.